GCUUUACCAUGGAGGGGCGGAGAGAGAACUCCCCGGACGCGCAGGAAAAUCCCCCCAGGUCCUCGGAGGCCUCGCGCGGCAAUUUAUUGGGGAAUGGCUCCCUCUGCCGACUCGCCGAGGAGGCCCCGGGAGGCCCAGUGAUGGAAUGUUAAAACCAUGAACGGGCUUUUCCAUUUGUGGGUUAGACAGGACAUGAAUUCUGGAAUCUGCUUCUCUGACUGUCCAUCUUCCUCUUCCAGACUAAAGAGUUUUCCAGCUUUUACAGGACCCCAAAAGAUACAAAUUUGACUGCUGCAAAGUUCUUUCUUGUGUCGUUGAAUUCUAUCCCCCUCUCCCCACAAAAAAACAAAAACAGGUUUAAGCCCCAUAACCACUCCAGGUAACCAUCUCCUACCAGGCUUCUCUUCCUCCCAUUAAUAAGAACUCUUUCUUUUUAGAGAGACUUCAAGAGCGUUCGAGUCCCUACUCAAUAACGCUCCUGGAAAAUAGUACAGACUCCAUAUUAUGUUUGAGUGAAUAAAUGAAUGGAAUGAAUGAACAUAGAUAUGUUUGAAGCCCCUCACCAUCCUCUUUACUCUCCCUGGAAAUACACAGGGGAAGACUGUUUUGGUGUUUGUUUAUUUGUUUGUUUAGCAGUCAUCAUUGCCCCUUCUCUGGUAACAGUACCUCCAUUUUUCUUUGAGAUACCAUCCCUGCCACAAGGACAGCAGUCUGGGUGGAAGGUCAGUCAGGAUGGUCCAGCUUUUCCCUGUCCAGAAGAGAGCAACUGACCUCAGCUAAGCCCCUCAGGCCCUCUCUGCCAGGAGUUGGAACUUUGAUCUGGGCAGCACAGGCACAAAUAAUUCUAGAGGAGUAAAAUUAUUAUUACAGUAACUGUGUGUUUAACUAUAUAGAAAGAUGAACUGCUUUCCAAAGUGGAAAACAUUUUACAUUCUCACCAGCAAGAUAUGAUAAUUGCUUCACAUCCUCAUCAACACUGGGUAGUUUCUGUCUUCUUAUUUUUGCCAUUCUAGUAAGUAUAUAGUGGUAUCACAUCGUGGUUUUAAUUUGCGUUUCCUUACUGACUAAUGAUGGUGACCAUAAAAGAUGUUUACCAGCUUUUCAUGUGCUCUCAUGCCACCUGUUCUUUGAUAAAGUGUCUGAAUUUAUUGCCCAAUUUUUAAUCAAGUCUUUGGAUUCUUAUUAUUGAGUUGUAGGAGUUCUUUAUAUACCAGGCAUUUGUUAGAUAUGUAUAUAACCAAUAUACACUCCCAGUCUGUUUCUUGUCUUUCAAUUUCUUAAUAGUGUCUUUCAAACAGCAGUUUUUAAUUUUGAUAAAGUCCAGUUUAUCAAGCGUGUUUUUGUGUGUGUGUGUUGUACUUUUAGGUUUUACAUAAGUAAUCUUUGCUU
Molecule: long non-coding RNA, 1389 nt
Organism: Homo sapiens (human)
Lineage: Eukaryota; Metazoa; Chordata; Mammalia; Primates; Hominidae
Source: Ensembl